This 467-nucleotide ribosomal RNA is filed under the name uncultured bacterium. RNAcentral's name for it is "partial 16S ribosomal RNA". It matches the Rfam family "Bacterial small subunit ribosomal RNA", at positions 28 to 507 of the family's 1533-position model. The record is from RNAcentral.
GAUGAACGCUGGCGGCGCGCCUAACACAUGCAAGUCGGACGAUUAAAGCACCUUCGGGUGUGUAUAAAGUGGCGAACGGCUGAGUAACACGUGGGCAACCUGCCCCUCUCAUUGGGAUAGCCACGGGAAACCGUGGAUAAUACCGAAUACUUCGGGACUUCCGCAUGGAAGACUCGAGAAAGCUCCGGCGGAGAGGGAUGGGCCCGCGGCCUGUUAGCUUGUUGGUGGGGUAAUUGCCUACCAAGGCAAUGAUGGGUAGCUGGGUUGAGAGACCGACCAGCCAGAUUGGGACUGAGACACGGCCCAGACUCCUACGGGAGGCAGCAGUGGGGAAUCUUGCACAAUGGGCGAAAGCCUGAUGCAGCGACGCCGCGUGCGGGAUGGAGGCCUUCGGGUUGUAAACCGCUUUCAGCAGGGACGAGGCGAAAGUGACGGUACCUGCAGAAGAAGCCCCGGCUAACUACGUG